RNAcentral lists this ribosomal RNA (497 nucleotides) under uncultured bacterium. RNAcentral describes it as "partial 16S ribosomal RNA". It matches the Rfam family "Bacterial small subunit ribosomal RNA", at positions 28 to 507 of the family's 1533-position model. The record is from RNAcentral.
GAUGAACGCUGGCGGCGUGCCUAAUACAUGCAAGUCGAGCGAACAGACGAGGAGCUUGCUCCUCUGACGUUAGCGGCGGACGGGUGAGUAACACGUGGAUAACCUACCUAUAAGACUGGGAUAACUUCGGGAAACCGGAGCUAAUACCGGAUAAUAUAUUGAACCGCAUGGUUCAAUAGUGAAAGACGGUUUUGCUGUCACUUAUAGAUGGAUCCGCGCGGCAUUAGCUAGUUGGUAAGGUAACGGCUUACCAAGGCAACGAUGCAUAGCCGACCUGAGAGGGGGAUCGGCCACACUGGAACUGAGACACGGUCCAGACUCCUACGGGAGGCAGCAGUAGGGAAUCUUCCGCAAUGGGCGAAAGCUUGACGGAGCAACGCCGCGUGAGUGAUGAAGGUCUUCGGAUCGUAAAACUCUGUUAUUAGGGAAGAACAAAUGUGUAAGUAACUGUGCACGUCUUGACGGUACCUAAUCAGAAAGCCACGGCUAACUACGUG